UCUUCUUCUUCUAGUCCGUAGAAAUAGCAAAGUCGGUAGCCUUUGCUCAUUAGCGCCACCUCUGUUCAGGAGAAGACCGUAACUAGUCUUCCACCACACGCGAGUAUAAACAGUUACGGCGAUCCCAUGACGUCACAUUUGCGCGCGGCAGGUUGGGAACGGCCAGUGUACUGAACGUUUUAGUCAUGGUCGGAGUUUGAAGAAAAAAAAAAUAAAACCCUCUGUGCAUGUUUGACUUCUGUUUGGGCGCACAGUUUUCAGUUUUUCUCUGCUUUGAAAGAAUCGGGAAGCAGUUGUCUAAACUCAACAACAGGCUCCUCUUCAUUUCAACGGAGAGGGGAACCUCUGAAUCAUGUUAUUGUGCUUAUUUUGAAGCAUUAUUAUGUAUGCAUAAGGAACAGACAGAUGAAGUGCACUUUACUGUAAGACUAUAUUGUUACACAGAGGUCACUUGGUUAUAGUGCGAGGAGCAGAAGUCAUGAGUCAUGGUUAAGGUGGUCACAUCACUUACAUUUCCAUAGACUCUAAAGCAAAUACCUGCCCCAUCACUCCCCUGCACAGACGUAUCACUAAAUACUCAGACGUGUAACCUGUAUUAGGAAAAGAUAAGGAAAGAGAGUGUAGAGAGAGCAUUUCAUGUUUAGUUCUGUUUACUGUGACAUAUCAUUUGAACAUGUUAUUUUUUUAAAAUUGUAUUUGUUUUGUCUGUUAGUUCCCUGAACUGGCUGUAUUAAGUUGUCUUUAAUGCCCAUUGUUGCAACCAAAAAAAAGCCACUCUUGAGUUGUUUAUCUGAUCAAAGGAAGUGCAGAGACAGCCGCAGCAUCAAGGCUGCAGAGAGCCGGGUUACAUUCAAAAUUCUCAUGAAAUACAUGACAAAACAAUCUCACUCAAAACAACCAGCUACAGUUCUAUGACAAAAAACCUGCAGCAGGUGGCUGCUGAUGAAAAGUAAAAACCUUCAGAACAAGUGGGUAAGUAGCCCUUAAGUUGAGAUUGUUUGGCCAGCAAAAUGUGGUGUGCUCUUUGGCUCCAGAAUUCUUUUGAACUAAUGCCGAUUUAGCAAGAAAUUUUGAGAAGAUUGAUACUACUGUCAUGUUUUGUUAAGGGUAAAUACGAGGCUACAGCCGGCUAACCUAGCUUAGCACAAAAACUGUAAACAAAGGGAAUGUCUAGCCUGGCUUCCAAAGGUAACUAAAUCAGCCUACCAGCACCUUUCAAGCUCAGUUUUCUUGUUUAACCUUUACAAGAAUCAAAGUUCACUUGUUGAGGGGGACUAUUUCUUGGGUGGGACUAGCUAGCUAGUUACCUCCGGGAGUCUCCGCUGGUUGCCUGGCAACUAGCCCCGACCAAGAAAUAAUGCUAGUCCGACCCAUAACUGUUAAAUUAGUUGUUUUUACACUUCUGUUUUUGUAACUUUAAACAAGCAACAUAUUAUGUGUUAGUGAGAGAUACUGGUAACGUUAGCUGGAUUUAGUUACUCCUAGACAGAGCCAGGCUAGCUGUUUCCAUUUUGUAUGCUAAGCUAACUGGCUGCUGAAGGUAACUACAAAAUUACCGCACAAACUAUGAAAGUGGUAUAAGGCUCAACAAGAACACCAAUAAGUGUGUUUCCCAAAAUGUCGAACAUUUCUUUAAAAUUUAAAUUGUAAACUUGGUUAGACACACUGUUAUCACUCCUAUGUAUCAGCGUAUAUGCAGUAUUGUCACUGUGUGUUUGUGUGCUCUGUUUGCUUCAUAGGUUGGUUAUUAUUCUCAUUUCAAUUCCUACGGUGCAUUUCAAUUCAACUCUUUAAGUCCACCAACCAAAAAUGUUAAACAGUACACUGUAUGUUUUAUGUUUGUGUUUCAGCCCGAUCAAGAGAAUCUAAGCUGCCUUGACUUAGUGCAACGAUGAAUUGUUUACUACAGGAUGUUAGCUUCCAGAGAUGUCUGUGUCUUCGGUUGCAUUUUUACCUAGUUUUAAAUGUUCUUAAAUAAUAAUAGUUGGCCACCAUAUGAGUUUUCAAGUGACCUUGUUUACCUUGCACAGUACAGUUGCUUCAGUGAAGCCCCAGUUUUAUUGAUAAAGAGAGAGCAAGAGUAAUCAGCGGAACCAAUGUUAUUUUUCUAUACUGUUUGAGAGGAAGUGUAUAUGUUGUCCGUUCAUCUCCAGUGCUCUGUUACACAAUUAAAAACUGCUGUCAAAUAAUGUUGUAUUUGACAGCCCCACCGGUCCCUGCUGCUGUGAUAACCAGCAGCAGUCCUGGUUGGUAAGUCAUCCUGAGCUAUGACUCUUAUUAUCUGAGUAGGCAACCUCAGCCUGUCACAGUUUGCCUCUAGGAAAGCCCAUAGGACAGGCAUCCUGACUGAUGACUCAAUAAAAAAAAAAAAAAACACUUGAA
Molecule: long non-coding RNA, 2382 nt
Organism: Sander lucioperca (pikeperch)
Lineage: Eukaryota; Metazoa; Chordata; Actinopteri; Perciformes; Percidae
Exons: 2
Source: RefSeq, a predicted model, not a curated record